This 438-nucleotide ribosomal RNA is filed under the name uncultured bacterium. Its description in RNAcentral is "bacterial SSU rRNA". It matches the Rfam family "Bacterial small subunit ribosomal RNA", at positions 958 to 1398 of the family's 1533-position model. The record is from RNAcentral.
AACGCGAAGAACCUUACCUAGGCUUGAAAGGUCGUCUAAACAGGUGAAAGCCUGCUACCCGCAAGGGGGGCGAUACAGGUGCUGCAUGGCUGUCGUCAGCUCGUGUCGUGAGAUGUUGGGUUAAGUCCCGCAACGAGCGCAACCCUUAUCUCCAGUUGCUACCAUUUAGUUGAGCACUCUGGCGAAACCGCCUCGGAUAACGGGGAGGAAGGUGGGGAUGACGUCAAGUCCUCAUGGCCUUUAUGUCCAGGGCUACACACGUGCUACAAUGGCCGGUACAAACCGUCGCAAACCCGCGAGGGGGAGCUAAUCGGAAAAAGCCGGACCUCAGUUCGGAUCGCAGUCUGCAACUCGACUGCGUGAAGCUGGAAUCGCUAGUAAUCGCGGAUCAGAACGCCGCGGUGAAUACGUUCCCGGGCCUUGUACACACCGAUACUC